RNAcentral lists this ribosomal RNA (1343 nucleotides) under uncultured bacterium. RNAcentral's name for it is "16S ribosomal RNA". It matches the Rfam family "Bacterial small subunit ribosomal RNA", at positions 28 to 1378 of the family's 1533-position model. The record is from RNAcentral.
GACGAACGUUGGCGGCGUGCUUAACACAUGCAAGUCGAACGGAAAGGCCCUGCUUUUGUGGGGUGCUCGAGUGGCGAACGGGUGAGUAACACGUGAGUAACCUGCCCUUGACUUUGGGAUAACUUCAGGAAACUGGGGCUAAUACCGGAUAGGAGCUCCUGCUGCAUGGUGGGGGUUGGAAAGUUUCGGCGGUUGGGGAUGGACUCGCGGCUUAUCAGCUUGUUGGUGGGGUAGUGGCCUACCAAGGCUUUGACGGGUAGCCGGCCUGAGAGGGUGACCGGCCACAUUGGGACUGAGAUACGGCCCAGACUCCUACGGGAGGCGGCAGUGGGGAAUAUUGCACAAUGGGCGGAAGCCUGAUGCAGCAACGCCGCGUGCGGGAUGACGGCCUUCGGGUUGUAAACCGCUUUCGCCUGUGACGAAGCGUGAGUGACGGUAAUGGGUAAAGAAGCACCGGCUAACUACGUGCCAGCAGCCGCGGUGAUACGUAGGGUGCGAGCGUUGUCCGGAUUUAUUGGGCGUAAAGGGCUCGUAGGUGGUUGAUCGCGUCGGAAGUGUAAUCUUGGGGCUUAACCCUGAGCGUGCUUUCGAUACGGGUUGACUUGAGGAAGGUAGGGGAGAAUGGAAUUCCUGGUGGAGCGGUGGAAUGCGCAGAUAUCAGGAGGAACACCAGUGGCGAAGGCGGUUCUCUGGGCCUUUCCUGACGCUGAGGAGCGAAAGCGUGGGGAGCGAACAGGCUUAGAUACCCUGGUAGUCCACGCUGUAAACGGUGGGUACUAGGUGUGGGGUCCAUUCCACGGGUUCCGUGCCGUAGCUAACGCUUUAAGUACCCCGCCUGGGGAGUACGGCCGCAAGGCUAAAACUCAAAGGAAUUGACGGGGCCCCGCACAAGCGGCGGAGCAUGCGGAUUAAUUCGAUGCAACGCGUAGAACCUUACCUGGGUUUGACAUGGAUCGGGAGUGCUCAGAGAUGGGUGUGCCUCUUUUGGGGUCGGUUCACAGGUGGUGCAUGGCUGUCGUCAGCUCGUGUCGUGAGAUGUUGGGUUAAGUCCCGCAACGAGCGCAACCCUUGUUCACUGUUGCCAGCACGUUAUGGUGGGGACUCAGUGGAGACCGCCGGGGUCAACUCGGAGGAAGGUGGGGAUGACGUCAAGUCAUCAUGCCCCUUAUGUCCAGGGCUUCACGCAUGCUACAAUGGCUGGUACAGAGAGUGGCGAGCCUGUGAGGGUGAGCGAAUCUCGGAAAGCCGGUCUCAGUUCGGAUUGGGGUCUGCAACUCGACCUCAUGAAGUCGGAGUCGCUAGUAAUCGCAGAUCAGCAACGCUGCGGUGAAUACGUUCCCGGG